CUCUGUGACUCCUACGGGAGGCAGCAGUGGGGAAUAUUGCACAAUGGGCGCAAGCCUGAUGCAGCAACGCCGUGUGAGUGAAGAAGGUUUUCGGAUCGUAAAACUCUGUCCUAAGGGAAGAAACAAAUGACGGUACCUUAGGAGGAAGCCCCGGCUAACUACGUGCCAGCAGCCGCGGUAAUACGUAGGGGGCAAGCGUUAUCCGGAAUCACUGGGCGUAAAGGGUGCGUAGGCGGCUUAGCAAGCCAGGGGUGAAAGGCAUUGGCUCAACCAAUGUAAGCCUUUGGAACUGUUAAGCUUGAGUGCAGGAGAGGUAAGUGGAAUUCCUAGUGUAGAGGUGAAAUUCGUAGAUAUUAGGAGGAACACCAGUGGCGAAGGCGACUUACUGGACUGUAACUGACGCUGAUGCACGAAAGCGUGGGUAGCGAACAGGAUUAGAUACCCUGGUAA
RNAcentral lists this ribosomal RNA (450 nucleotides) under uncultured bacterium. Its description in RNAcentral is "bacterial SSU rRNA". It matches the Rfam family "Bacterial small subunit ribosomal RNA", at positions 328 to 793 of the family's 1533-position model. The record is from RNAcentral.